GAUGAACGCUGGCGGCGUGCCUAAUACAUGCCAGUCGAGCGAACGGACGAGAAGCUUGCUUCUCUGAUGUUAGCGGCGGACGGGUGAGUAACACGUGGAUAACCUACCUAUAAGACUGGGAUAACUUCGGGAAACCGGAGCUAAUACCGGAUGAUAUUUUGAACCGCACGGUUCAAAAGUGAAAGACGGUCUUGCUGUCACUUAUAGAUGGAUCCGCGCUGCAUUAGCUAGUUGGUAAGGUAACGGCUUACCAAGGCAACGAUGCAUAGCCGACCUGAGAGGGUGAUCGGCCACACUGGAACUGAGACACGGUCCAGACUCCUACGGGAGGCAGCAGUAGGGAAUCUUCCGCAAUGGGCGAGAGCCUGACGGAGCAACGCCGCGUGAGUGAUGAAGGUCUUCGGAUCGUAAAACUCUGUUAUUAGGGAAGAACAUAUGUGUAAGUAACUGUGCACAUCUUGACGGUACCUAAUCAGAAAGCCACGGCUAACUACGUG
RNAcentral lists this ribosomal RNA (497 nucleotides) under uncultured bacterium. RNAcentral's name for it is "partial 16S ribosomal RNA". It matches the Rfam family "Bacterial small subunit ribosomal RNA", at positions 28 to 507 of the family's 1533-position model. The record is from RNAcentral.